UACUGUGAAACUGCGAAUGGCUCAUUAAAUCAGUUAUCGUUUAUUUGAUAGUACCUUACUACAUGGAUACCUGUGGUAAUUCUAGAGCUAAUACAUGCUAAAAACCCCGACUUCAGGAAGGGGUGUAUUUAUUAGAUAAAAAACCAACGCCCUUCGGGGCUCCUUGGUGAAUCAUAAUAACUUAACGAAUCGCAUGGCCUUGCGCCGGCGAUGGUUCAUUCAAAUUUCUGCCCUAUCAACUUUCGAUGGUAGGAUAGUGGCCUACCAUGGUGGCAACGGGUAACGGGGAAUUAGGGUUCGAUUCCGGAGAGGGAGCCUGAGAAACGGCUACCACAUCCAAGGAAGGCAGCAGGCGCGCAAAUUACCCAAUCCCGAUACGGGGAGGUAGUGACAAUAAAUACUGAUACGGGGCUCUUUUGGGUCUCGUAAUUGGAAUGAGAACAAUUUAAAUCCCUUAACGAGGAACAAUUGGAGGGCAAGUCUGGUGCCAGCAGCCGCGGUAAUUCCAGCUCCAAUAGCGUAUAUUAAAGUUGUUGCAGUUAAAAAGCUCGUAGUUGAACCUUGGGCCUGGCUGGCCGGUCCGCCUCACCGCGAGUACUGGUCCGGCUGGGCCUUUCCUUCUGGGGAACCUCAUGGCCUUCACUGGCUGUGGGGGGAACCAGGACUUUUACUGUGAAAAAAUUAGAGUGUUCAAAGCAGGCCUUUGCUCGAAUACAUUAGCAUGGAAUAAUAGAAUAGGACGUGUGGUUCUAUUUUGUUGGUUUCUAGGACCGCCGUAAUGAUUAAUAGGGAUAGUCGGGGGCGUCAGUAUUCAGCUGUCAGAGGUGAAAUUCUUGGAUUUGCUGAAGACUAACUACUGCGAAAGCAUUCGCCAAGGAUGUUUUCAUUAAUCAGGGAACGAAAGUUAGGGGAUCGAAGACGAUCAGAUACCGUCGUAGUCUUAACCAUAAACUAUGCCGACUAGGGAUCGGACGGGAUUCUAUAAUGACCCGUUCGGCACCUUACGAGAAAUC
This 1013-nucleotide ribosomal RNA is filed under the name Penicillium polonicum. Its description in RNAcentral is "SSU rRNA". It matches the Rfam family "Eukaryotic small subunit ribosomal RNA", at positions 77 to 1099 of the family's 1831-position model. The record is from RNAcentral. Lineage: Eukaryota; Fungi; Ascomycota; Eurotiomycetes; Eurotiales; Aspergillaceae.